CCUGUGAACAUACCUAUAACGUUGCCUCGGCGGGAACAGACGGCCCCGUAACACGGGCCGCCCCCGCCAGAGGACCCCCUAACUCUGUUUCUAUAAUGUUUCUUCUGAGUAAACAAGCAAAUAAAUUAAAACUUUCAACAACGGAUCUCUUGGCUCUGGCAUCGAUGAAGAACGCAGCGAAAUGCGAUAAGUAAUGUGAAUUGCAGAAUUCAGUGAAUCAUCGAAUCUUUGAACGCACAUUGCGCCCGCCAGUAUUCUGGCGGGCAUGCCUGUUCGAGCGUCAUUACAACCCUCAGGCCCCCGGGCUGGCGUUGGGGAUCGGCGGAAGCCCCCUGCGGGCACAACGCCGUCCCCCAAAUACAGUGGCGGUCCCGCCGCAGCUUCCAUUGCGUAGUAGCUAACACCUCGCAACUGGAGAGCGGCGCGGCCACGCCGUAAAACACCCAACUUCUGAAUGUUGACCUCGAAUCAGGUAGGAAUACCCGCUGAACUUAAGCAUAUCAAUAAGCGG
This 511-nucleotide ribosomal RNA is filed under the name Fusarium solani. Its description in RNAcentral is "eukaryotic LSU rRNA". The stretch from base 130 to 283 matches the Rfam family "5.8S ribosomal RNA". The record is from RNAcentral. Lineage: Eukaryota; Fungi; Ascomycota; Sordariomycetes; Hypocreales; Nectriaceae.